RNAcentral lists this unclassified non-coding RNA (358 nucleotides) under soil metagenome. RNAcentral's name for it is "partial contains 5.8S ribosomal RNA, internal transcribed spacer 2, and large subunit ribosomal RNA". The stretch from base 1 to 120 matches the Rfam family "5.8S ribosomal RNA", at positions 35 to 154 of the family's 154-position model. The record is from RNAcentral.
GAUGAAGAACGUAGCGAAAUGCGAUAAGUAAUGUGAAUUGCAGAAUUCAGUGAAUCAUCGAAUCUUUGAACGCACAUUGCGCCCGUCAGUAUUCUGGCGGGCAUGCCUGUUCGAGCGUCAUUACGCCCCUCAAGUCCCCUGUGGACUUGGUGUUGGGGAUCGGCGAGGCUGGUUUUCCAGCACAGCCGUCCCUUAAAUUAAUUGGCGGUCUCGCCGUGGCCCUCCUCUGCGCAGUAGUAAAACACUCGCAACAGGAGCCCGGCGCGGUCCGCUGCCGUAAAACCCCCCAACUUUUUAUAGUUGACCUCGAAUCAGGUAGGACUACCCGCUGAACUUAAGCAUAUCAAUAAGCGGAGGA